RNAcentral lists this non-coding RNA (196 nucleotides) under Leuconostoc gasicomitatum. Lineage: Bacteria; Bacillati; Bacillota; Bacilli; Lactobacillales; Lactobacillaceae. The record is from RNAcentral.
AUAAACCUAUUAACUUACCAUAAGUAGGCUAUCUAAGAAAGUUGUUGGAUAAUGCGAAACAACGAGCUGAAAUUCCAGUAAGUCACGAUAGUGGGUAAUGCCACUCGGUUAUUCACCGUUAUCAGAUAAUGAGUGUUAUGCAUUAAUUUGCAUAGAAUCUGGGUGGUACCACGGAAGCGCGUUUUUCGUCCCUUGU